This 539-nucleotide ribosomal RNA is filed under the name Chaetomium sp. 7 JAS-2013. RNAcentral describes it as "eukaryotic LSU rRNA". It matches the Rfam family "Eukaryotic large subunit ribosomal RNA", at positions 47 to 598 of the family's 3401-position model. Lineage: Eukaryota; Fungi; Ascomycota; Sordariomycetes; Sordariales; Chaetomiaceae. The record is from RNAcentral.
UAAGCGGAGGAAAAGAAACCAACAGGGAUUGCCCUAGUAACGGCGAGUGAAGCGGCAACAGCUCAAAUUUGAAAUCUGGCUUCGGCCCGAGUUGUAAUUUGCAGAGGAAGCUUUGUGCGCGGCACCAACUGAGUCCCCUGGAACGGGGCGCCACAGAGGGUGAGAGCCCCGUAUAGUUGGACGCCUAGCACGUGUAAAGCUCCUUCGACGAGUCGAGUAGUUUGGGAAUGCUGCUCAAAAUGGGAGGUAAAUUUCUUCUAAAGCUAAAUACCGGCCAGAGACCGAUAGCGCACAAGUAGAGUGAUCGAAAGAUGAAAAGCACUUUGAAAAGAGGGUUAAAUAGCACGUGAAAUUGUUGAAAGGGAAGCGCUUGUGACCAGACUUGCGCCCGGCGGAUCAUCCGGUGUUCUCACCGGUGCACUCCGACGGGCGCAGGCCAGCAUCGGUUCUCGCGGGGGGACAAAGGUCCCGGGAACGUAGCUCCUCCGGGAGUGUUAUAGCCCGGGGCGUCAUGCCCUCAGCGGGGACCGAGGACCGCG